AGAAAGCUGAGACAUAGACCUACAACUUUCAUGAAGAACACAAAUCUAAAUUCUGAUCAUAACCUAGUCAAAUUGCUAACCAAACUUAGGUUACCAAAUCUGGUAGAACCAGUUUUGCCCAGAAUUUUGGAUUCUGUCCAAUCCGGCCAGUUAUGGUGUUUAGACUAUAACUUGAUCUACAAAACUCUAAAUGGAGUAAUUCAAAAAAGGAAAUGUAACUAGACAAAAUAAGGAACAACU
RNAcentral lists this unclassified non-coding RNA (240 nucleotides) under Hevea brasiliensis (rubber tree). The record is from RNAcentral. Lineage: Eukaryota; Viridiplantae; Streptophyta; Magnoliopsida; Malpighiales; Euphorbiaceae.